RNAcentral lists this ribosomal RNA (253 nucleotides) under uncultured bacterium. RNAcentral describes it as "partial 16S ribosomal RNA". It matches the Rfam family "Bacterial small subunit ribosomal RNA", at positions 524 to 776 of the family's 1533-position model. The record is from RNAcentral.
UACAGAGGGUGCAAGCGUUGCUCGGAAUUAUUGGGCGUAAAGGGUAGGUAGGUGGUCUUAUUUGUCUGGGGUGAAAGCCUUGAGCUUAACUCAAGAAGUGCCCCAGAAACGGUAAGACUAGAGUCUCGGAGAGGUUAGCGGAAUUCCCGGUGUAGCGGUGAAAUGCGUAGAGAUCGGGAGGAACACCAGCGGCGAAGGCGGCUAACUGGACGAGCACUGACACUCAACUACGAAAGCGUGGGGAGCAAACAGG